UCUCCGACGUCGCCAAAAACAGUACUUUGCAAGCACCGCCGCCGGAAAAUUCAACUCCGAUGGUUAAAGACAAAACCUUUGAAUCUCCGGUCGUAAACGGAACCAACCCAGUUGCCAAAAACAGUACUUUACAAUCACCGGCGCCGGAAAGUCGAACUCCGGUUGCUAAAAACGCAACCUUUGUAUCUCCGGUCGUAAACGGAACCAACCCAGUUGCCAAAAACAGUACUUUGCAAUCACCGGCGCCGGAAAAACGAACUCCGGUUGCUAAAAACACAACCUUUGUAUCUCCGGUCGUUAACGGCACCAACCCAGCUUCUCAACCUAUGCUUCCAGAUAAGUCUCCGACA
This 350-nucleotide long non-coding RNA is filed under the name Brassica napus (rape). RNAcentral describes it as "long non-coding RNA (BNAP_LNC008992)". Lineage: Eukaryota; Viridiplantae; Streptophyta; Magnoliopsida; Brassicales; Brassicaceae. The record is from RNAcentral.